GCCUGUUUUCUGCUAUUGUUGAUGUGAAAUAUUCAAGUGUCCUGCUGUUCAGUCCUGUUUCAGACAAGCAGAAGUGGACAGGCAACAGACACAGCUGUCAGACAGGCAGCAACUGCCACAGCCCGGCUGAGGGUCUGGAACUAGGAGCUGAGGGAUCUGAUGGACAGGACAGCCGCCAGACCCAACCAAUGGAUACCAGAGACCGCAGCAGUGCCCCACAGGGAAAGGAGCCCUCUCAUUUCCUUUUCCUUCCCAGAUAGAAAGAUACUAAAGAGAGACUAGCUGAGAAAGAAAGAGGAUACUUCUAAAUACCAGUAUUCCAUCUAAGAAAAGGGAAAAAAAAAACAAGAGGAAGGCACCAAACCACAACUAUCAAGUUCAGAGCGGACUGGAGCCCGUCCUGCUGGAGCAGGCUCCUCAGGCAUGUCGGUGGCACACAGAUGCAAUUCACCUGCUCUGCUCUACUCCUUACCCUGAGUACUCGGUAUCCUGACCCACAUCUGAAAGAAAAGCUCGGAAGCUGAGACAGAAAAUCUAUCUAUUCCACUAAAAAGGUCAGAACUUACUGAUUGGAGUUGCAGUCAUCAGCUGAUGGGCCGGAGAGGGAGAAGCACCCAGACACAAAGGAGCCCAUUGGGUCAUGUAUUACUAGUCCACUUUACCCAGUACAGUCAGGACCCCCUCCCCCAGCCCGUCCACUGUCAAGAAAACAGGAAGCACUGGUGAACAGAUAUGGAACGCUCGGGCCCAGGUAGACAGAUCCUAAUACAGAGAGAGAAUAAACCUGCAUAGGUUUACUUUGACCAAGGCACCAGCUCUAUCGAGCACCCACGUAAUCAGACGCUUCUGCAGCCACUCCAGGAAUGAAGACUGCCUGAACAGACCUUAGAGAGCAAAGGGCCACAAGAAACUCUGUAACCUCUAAUCCGCACCCUCAGUUUACAACGAAGGCAUUUCUGGUCUAAUCAAACAACCUGCUUCAAGUCAUCAACAACUGUGAGCGUCGGAACGAAAGCGGAGGCCACUCAGUGUCCCUCCACAGCACCAUGCCACUGCCACCAAAGCUGCAUCGUUGCUCACAGAUGUGUGCAGAUGUGUAACCAGUUUAUACACGGUCAUGCAAGAAACACCACCAAACAGAGUGAUCACAGCUUGCCAAUUUGGCAAACCAUGAAAGGGUACUUUACCUGCCCCUAAAACCCAAAUUACAUUUUACUCACAUCAUUCACUUAUAUCCAUAGAAACUGGCCAAAUGCUUUUCAGAUAUAUUCCACACUCACAUUUCCCAAAGAGAAAAUGCAGUGAAACCACCAGCAUGAAAUUAAUGAGAAGGGGACUAGUACCUUCCCCAGA
Long non-coding RNA from Molossus molossus (Pallas's mastiff bat), 1353 nucleotides. RefSeq lists it as uncharacterized. The record is from RefSeq and is a predicted model, not a curated record. NCBI's taxonomy places the organism in Eukaryota, Metazoa, Chordata, Mammalia, Chiroptera, Molossidae. The transcript is spliced from 5 exons.